GUGACAAACAGCGAUUCUUUUUUCAUUGUAGUUCUCUUAAGUCUCAUUUUUACGUACCUGCAUAUGAAAGAACACACUGGCGACCAGUUCAGGGUGUACACCGACUCUGGCCCAAAGAUAGCUGGGGUAGGCUCCAGCACUCCCACAACCCUUGUGAGGGUAACCACAGUAGAAAAUGGAUGGAUGGCUAUUUUAAUUACUAGCAAAAGAGAAAGAGAUGGAGGGUGAAGUGCUCCAGGAAUCAGGGCUGCCUCUAUGAGAUAUGACACAGCUUGAUUUUGAUCA
This is a long non-coding RNA of Syngnathoides biaculeatus (alligator pipefish), 285 nucleotides long. RefSeq lists it as uncharacterized. NCBI's taxonomy places the organism in Eukaryota, Metazoa, Chordata, Actinopteri, Syngnathiformes, Syngnathidae. The record is from RefSeq and is a predicted model, not a curated record. The transcript is spliced from 3 exons.